Molecule: transfer RNA, 75 nt
Filed under: Candidatus Wolfebacteria bacterium
Lineage: Bacteria; Candidatus Wolfeibacteriota
Description: tRNA-Val
Rfam family: tRNA
About the family: Transfer RNA (tRNA) molecules are approximately 80 nucleotides in length.
Source: RNAcentral
GCGCGAUUAGCUCAGCGGUAGAGCGCUGCGUUCACAUCGCAGAGGUCGCAGGUUCGAAACCUGCAUCGCGCACAA